This is a long non-coding RNA of Loxodonta africana (African savanna elephant), 1757 nucleotides long. RefSeq lists it as uncharacterized. NCBI's taxonomy places the organism in Eukaryota, Metazoa, Chordata, Mammalia, Proboscidea, Elephantidae. The record is from RefSeq and is a predicted model, not a curated record. The transcript is spliced from 4 exons.
AGAGUCUUUAAGUACAGAUGGUUUUCCAUCCAUUUCUUCUCAGUUUUACUCUUUCUCUUAGGUGGACUAUACUCCUGGAGCUGUAUGUGGUCUGAGGCAUCUUCUAUGCAUAUUUGUUAAGAAUGAAAAUAUAAGACACACUACGUCUCAUUUUUUUUUCGCCAAACUCUACCCUUCCUCUGGUGACCCUGUUCUUUGCUGAGGCUGGCCCCCGGCAACUGGCGCCCGAACAGGGACCUGAAGGACAAAACUUCCCCUUUGUGGAUACCCGACAGACUCAUCAGACAUGCAAGACCCAAAAACCACCAAAAAUCCUCCAACACUUCCUCCCUCACUGCUCACAAACCUAACACCUCCCACGACUCUUCUGAGAAAUCUGUCUCUUGAAAAUGCUCCAUCUACACCCCCAUCUUCGCCUGUCUCUAGUUCUUCCUCCUCUUCAUCUUCUACUCCACCCCCUCUCACUGACUUUAUACAACCCUCUACAAAUCUCAACAACUCUUCAUCUCGAGACAAAGUGCGGUGGAGAAGCCGGAGAUAUACUCCUUAUUCAAGAACCCAUCGAACCAUUGCGGCUGAGCCCCCAACUUGGGGCCAACUCAAAAAACUUACUCAUCUGGCUCACACCUUAACCGUGGAUCAACAUAUUCCCGUAAAUGCGGGUACUCUUUUUGUGGCUAUGCUCGCUAUCAUUUCCUGCCAGUCAUCUUCCGAAUCUUAAAUCAAGCUAUCCAAAAGGUGGCUUCAGAUCUUCAUCUGGCGAAAUUAAAAAAUAAGAAAGGGGGAGAUGCUGGGAGCCAGGCUGCAAGGGAGGCCCCUCUGCACCCACUGCCCCCAGCAUAAACAUCGAAGAAUUCCUGAAAAGUCAGGAAUAUCUCUGUCAUCUGUGUUAUGUUUCUGUUUCAUUUUCAGCCUGUGUAUAGCAGAAUGUAUAAGCAUAAAAUUCCAUUAUAGAUUUAGGGACCUUUGGAGGGGGGCGUCCUACUCAUAAUCCCCUGGUAAAAUCCCGGGUAGGGACAGCCCGUGUAUUACCUGGGGAUCAACAUGAAGUUGUCUUAGGGGGAAAACGAAUAGCUCGACUAUGGAAAACAAAAAGAGGAUGGUGGAAUUCUGGUACUUACUGAGGCCCUUUUGUGAUUAAACCACCACCCACACAUGAUCCCAUAAAAGUGGAAAAACAAUAUUUUGAAUUUCUAUUGGCAAGAAAUUGGGAUUAUGACGCUGAUUGGAGACCAUAUAGAGUAGAAGGAAGUUUUAUUACUCCAAAACCGGCUUGGGGGUGUAGAGAUUGGGCUAAUUGUCCUUGGCAUAAUCGUGGACAAUAUGAUGUAACCCAAAGUGGCUGGACUUCAAGAACUUGGCCACCCUGGACAAGAUGGACAAAGCCUAUGUGGCAAUGGUUUUGCAAAAAGAUUAAUUGUUAUAAAAACUGUGGAAGGUAUUGCAAGAUUAAGCAUAAGUGUAAAGCAGUAUGAAGUCAAUUGUUACUUUGUGUAAAAAUAAAUCAACAAAAUGUUCUCUUCAAUUAAACAAAAACUCAUUGUAUUUGUGUGCGUAUGCAGAACUGUACUACGUGUCACUUGGAAAAUUAUGUCUCUGGAAGAUGAUGUUAUCUAUGAUGAUUAUAUCUUGUACUGCCCCUUUGUUGAUCAUGCGAUGUUAUGCUUAUGUAAGCUUAUGAUAUAAAAGACCAUGUAAAAAAUAAAGAAGAGGCUUUUUUUUUUUCUGCAGAAUGAAAAUAUAAGACACACUACGUC